RNAcentral lists this ribosomal RNA (433 nucleotides) under uncultured bacterium. RNAcentral's name for it is "partial 16S ribosomal RNA". It matches the Rfam family "Bacterial small subunit ribosomal RNA", at positions 29 to 507 of the family's 1533-position model. The record is from RNAcentral.
AACGAACGCUGGCGGCAUGCCUAACACAUGCAAGUCGAACGAGACCUGCGGGUCGAGUGGCGCACGGGUGCGUAACGCGUGGGAACCUGCCCUUAGGGUCGGAAUAACUCCCCGAAAGGGGUGCUAAUACCGGAUAAUGUGUUCGGACCAAAGAAUUAUCGCCUUGGGAUGGGGCCGCGUUGGAUUAGCUAGUUGGUAGGGUAAAAGCCUACCAAGGCGACGAUCCAUAGCUGGUUUGAGAGACUGAUCAGCCACACUGGGACGGAGACACGGCCCAGACUCCUACGGGAGGCAGCAGUGGGGAAUAUUGGACAAUGGGCGAAAGCCUGAUCCAGCAAUGCCGCGUGAGUGAUGAAGUCCUUAGGGUUGUAAAGCUCUUUUACCCGGGAUGAUAAUGACAGUACCGGGAGAAUAAGCUCCGGCUAACUCCGUG